GUAGGAAACUAGAGCUAAUACAUGCCAAAGUCGUAAGGCUGCAUUUAUUAGAUAUACCAAGACGGUGAAUCAUGAUAACUUAGCAAAUCGAAACCACGUUUCGAUAAAUCAUUCAAGUUUCUGACCUAUCAUGCUCUCGAUGGUAGUGUAUUGGACUACCAUGGCAGUCACGGGUAACGGAGAAUUAGGGUUCGAUUCCGGAGAAAGGAGCCUGAGAAACGGCUACUACAUCUACGGAAGGCAGCAGGCGCGUAAAUUACCCAAUCCUAAAUCGGGGAGGUAGUGACAAGAUAUAACAACGCGACUAAAAAAUCGCGAUUGUAGUGAGGGUAUUCUAAACAUAGCUUCGAGUACGAUUGGAGGGCAAGUCUGGUGCCAGCAGCCGCGGUAAUUCCAGCUCCAAUAGCGUAUAUUAAAGUUGUUGCAGUUAAAAAGCUACGUAGUUGGACUUCAAGAAGACGCAUCUGGCAA
This 471-nucleotide ribosomal RNA is filed under the name uncultured eukaryote. RNAcentral's name for it is "SSU rRNA". It matches the Rfam family "Eukaryotic small subunit ribosomal RNA", at positions 149 to 661 of the family's 1831-position model. The record is from RNAcentral.